GCCGGGCGUGGUGGUGCACGCCUGUAAUCCCAGCUACUCAGGAAGCUGAGGCAGGAGAAUCGCUUGAACUCAGGAGGCAGAGGUUGCAGUGAGCCGAGAUGGUGCCACUGUGCCACUGUACUCCAGCCUGGGCAACAGAGUGAGACUCUGUCUCAA
Molecule: non-coding RNA, 156 nt
Filed under: Gorilla gorilla gorilla (western lowland gorilla)
Lineage: Eukaryota; Metazoa; Chordata; Mammalia; Primates; Hominidae
Source: Rfam by way of RNAcentral